RNAcentral lists this ribosomal RNA (439 nucleotides) under uncultured bacterium. Its description in RNAcentral is "partial 16S ribosomal RNA". It matches the Rfam family "Bacterial small subunit ribosomal RNA", at positions 339 to 795 of the family's 1533-position model. The record is from RNAcentral.
CUACGGGGCGCAGCAGUGAGGAAUAUUGCACAAUGGGGGGAACCCUGAUGCAGCAACGCCGCGUGGAGGAUGACGCAUUUCGGUGUGUAAACUCCUUUUAUAUGUCAAGAAAAUGACGGUAGCAUAUGAAUAAGCACCGGCUAACUCCGUGCCAGCAGCCGCGGUAAUACGGAGGGUGCAAGCGUUACUCGGAAUCACUGGGCGUAAAGGACGCGUAGGCGGGUUGGAAAGUCAGGUGUGAAAUCCUACAGCUUAACUGUAGAACUGCACUUGAAACUUCUAAUCUAGAGUAUGGGAGGGGGAGGUGGAAUUAGUGGUGUAGGGGUAACAUCCGUAGAGAUCACUAGGAAUACCUAAAGCGAAGGCGAUCUCCUGGAACAUUACUGACGCUAAGGCGUGAAAGCGUGGGGAGCAAACAGGAUUAGAUACCCGCGUAGUC